CGGCUGUUCGCGCUGCCGCCCCCUGACGCGCUCGGCCGCUGCCGCCGCGGACACCUGCGCGUCGGUCGCUGCCAGCUCUGCGGCUGCAGGUCCGGAACGGAACACGUCGUCCCGUUCACAGGCGACAGCAUGGAGAUUGUCCUUUCGCUCCCUGGCGACGAACUGCUGGAUGACCCGAAGUACAGCGGAUUCGUUAUAGAGGUGCUGCAGGAAGGAAGAAACCGGUGGAAGAGAGCGGAGAAAGAUUGGUACGCCUUGGGAAGCUACGGCCACUGGAAACCAUACUACAGUCCUGAGGCUGCCACGGGAGCGCUAACCAAAUGGAGCGGUCAGAGGGUGCGGUUUGAUGAACGAUGUGGGGCUGAAGACGACUGGCUCCUUUGGGCGUCAAAGUCAGAUUGCGAGGCUCGCCGAUGUACCAGCAUCACUUCCGGCGUCGUCAACAGCAGCG
Molecule: long non-coding RNA, 451 nt
Organism: Schistocerca cancellata (South American locust)
Lineage: Eukaryota; Metazoa; Arthropoda; Insecta; Orthoptera; Acrididae
Exons: 3
Source: RefSeq, a predicted model, not a curated record